Molecule: unclassified non-coding RNA, 175 nt
Filed under: uncultured Sebacina
Lineage: Eukaryota; Fungi; Basidiomycota; Agaricomycetes; Sebacinales; Sebacinaceae
Description: sequence contains ITS1
Source: RNAcentral
UUGAUGUUAUAAACCCGUCAUCUUCAGUGCUGGCUUUCUAGCAUGUGCACGUUGGGGCGGCAUUAUUCAUCUCACAACCCCCUUUGUGAACUCCUGGCCUUUGCUGGUUUCGACUGGCAGAGGAAUUUACACAAACUCGAAUGUAAUGAAAUGCUUGUUGUGCACUAUAUAUAUA